This 425-nucleotide ribosomal RNA is filed under the name uncultured bacterium. RNAcentral describes it as "bacterial SSU rRNA". It matches the Rfam family "Bacterial small subunit ribosomal RNA", at positions 354 to 796 of the family's 1533-position model. The record is from RNAcentral.
GUGGGGAAUAUUGCACAAUGGGGGAAACCCUGAUGCAGCGACGCCGCGUGGAGGAUGAAGGCCUUCGGGUUGUAAACUCCUUUUGUAGGGGAAGAUAAUGACGGUACCCUGCGAAUAAGCCACGGCUAACUCUGUGCCAGCAGCCGCGGUAAGACAGAGGUGGCGAGCGUUGUUCGGAAUUACUGGGCUUAAAGGGCGAGUAGGCGGUGGAGCAAGUCUGAGGUGGAAUCCUACGGCUUAACCGUAGAACUGCCUUAGAAACUGUUUUACUUGAGUCAGUGAGGGGAGGGCGGAAUUCCUGGUGUAGCGGUGAAAUGCGUAGAUAUCAGGAGGAAGGCCUGUGGCGAAAGUGGCCCUCUGGCACUGUACUGACGCUGAGGCGCGAAAGCGUGGGGAGCAAACAGGAUUAGAUACCCGAGUAGUCC